GAUGAACGCUGGCGGCGUGCCUAAUACAUGCAAGUCGAGCGAACAGACGAGGAGCUUGCUCCUCUGACGUUAGCGGCGGACGGGUGAGUAACACGUGGAUAACCUACCUAUAAGACUGGGAUAACUUCGGGAAACCGGAGCUAAUACCGGAUAAUAUAUUGAACCGCAUGGUUCAAUAGUGAAAGACGGUUUUGCUGUCACUUAUAGAUGGAUCCGCGCCGCAUUAGCUAGUUGGUAAGGUAACGGCUUACCAAGGCAACGAUGCGUAGCCGACCUGAGAGGGUGAUCGGCCACACUGGAACUGAGACAAGGUCCAGACUCCUACGGGAGGCAGCAGUAGGGAAUCUUCCGCAAUGGGCGAAAGCCUGACGGAGCAACGCCGCGUGAGUGAUGAAGGUCUUCGGAUCGUAAAACUCUGUCAUUAGGGAAGAACAAAUGUGUAAGUAACUAUGCACGUCAUGACGGUACCUAAUCAGAAAGCCACGGCUAACUACGUG
This 497-nucleotide ribosomal RNA is filed under the name uncultured bacterium. RNAcentral describes it as "partial 16S ribosomal RNA". It matches the Rfam family "Bacterial small subunit ribosomal RNA", at positions 28 to 507 of the family's 1533-position model. The record is from RNAcentral.